AUGCUCGACAUAAAACAAACACUCUCAAACUCUAAGGUAAGAAAGUAUCGGCUUAUGCCUAGUCCAUAUCUCAUAUCGAGUCUUUGCGACUGAUUAAUUUAGAAUUUAGUUUAGAACAUAAUAAAUAGUCUCAAGAGCAUAACCUUAAAAGGAGACUAAUAGGCUUUUAAACCCCAUCAUAGAUCGAAUUAUAUCUAACAAAGUCGAUUUCAACAGGAGAGAAUCCUAUUCUUUUCUAAAUAUGUCAAAACUUACUUGAAAUACAUUCUCCUCUUUGGUCU
RNAcentral lists this long non-coding RNA (281 nucleotides) under Elaeis guineensis (African oil palm). Its description in RNAcentral is "long non-coding RNA (EGUI_LNC054536)". Lineage: Eukaryota; Viridiplantae; Streptophyta; Magnoliopsida; Arecales; Arecaceae. The record is from RNAcentral.